GAUGAAGAACGUAGCGAAAUGCGAUAAGUAAUGUGAAUUGCAGAAUUCAGUGAAUCAUCGAGUCUUUGAACGCACAUUGCGCCCCCUGGUAUUCCGUGGGGCAUGCCUGUCCGAGCGUCAUUGCUGCCCUCAAGCACGGCUUGUGUGUUGGGCCCCGCCCCCCGGCUCCCGGGGGGCGGGCCCGAAAGGCAGCGGCGGCACCGCGUCCGGUCCUCGAGCGUAUGGGGCUUCGUCACCCGCUCCGUAGGCCCGGCCGGCGCCCGCCGGCGACCCCCCUCAAUCUUUUCAGGUUGACCUCGGAUCAGGUAGGGAUACCCGCUGAACUUAAGCAUAUCAAUAAGCGGAGGA
This 348-nucleotide unclassified non-coding RNA is filed under the name soil metagenome. RNAcentral describes it as "partial contains 5.8S ribosomal RNA, internal transcribed spacer 2, and large subunit ribosomal RNA". The stretch from base 1 to 120 matches the Rfam family "5.8S ribosomal RNA", at positions 35 to 154 of the family's 154-position model. The record is from RNAcentral.